GACGAACCGUCCGAACGUUAUUCGGAAUCACUGGGCUUACAGAGUUCGUAGGCGGUCCGGUAAGUUAGAUGUGAAAUCCCUUGGCUCAACCAAGGAACUGCGUUUGAAACUACCGGACUCGAGGGAGAUAGAGGAAAGCGGAACUGAUGGUGGAGCGGUGAAAUGCGUUGAUAUCAUCAGGAACACCGGUGGCGAAGGCGGCUUUCUGGGUCUCUUCUGACGCUGAGGAACGAAAGCUAGGGGAGCGAACGGG
This 253-nucleotide ribosomal RNA is filed under the name uncultured bacterium. Its description in RNAcentral is "partial 16S ribosomal RNA". It matches the Rfam family "Bacterial small subunit ribosomal RNA", at positions 524 to 776 of the family's 1533-position model. The record is from RNAcentral.